GAGUGGAAUUUUAUAAAAUCUCCAUACCAAUUGGUUGAGACUUCAUUUUGUCAAAGAUUUGCAGCGGCUAUUCUUAUGUCAAUUGCAGCCUUUAUUUGGUGUUGUUGGAAGGAGCAGAAUGCCCGCAUCUUUUUUAACAAGCAAUCUUCAAUCAUAGUUACUACCUAUAACCUUCAUCAUUUUGAUACUUGGUAUCUAUUGUGUGAUUAG
Molecule: long non-coding RNA, 210 nt
Filed under: Elaeis guineensis (African oil palm)
Lineage: Eukaryota; Viridiplantae; Streptophyta; Magnoliopsida; Arecales; Arecaceae
Description: long non-coding RNA (EGUI_LNC054095)
Source: RNAcentral